This 427-nucleotide ribosomal RNA is filed under the name uncultured bacterium. Its description in RNAcentral is "bacterial SSU rRNA". It matches the Rfam family "Bacterial small subunit ribosomal RNA", at positions 355 to 774 of the family's 1533-position model. The record is from RNAcentral.
UAGGGAAUAUUGGACAAUGGGGGCAACCCUGAUCCAGCCAUGCCGCGUGAGUGAAGAAGGCCCUCGGGUUGUAAAGCUCUUUUGUCCGGAAAGAAAAGCUUCGGGUUAAUACCCCGGGGUUCUUACGGUAACGGGAGAAUAAGCACCGGCUAACUUCGUUCCCGGAACUGCGGUAAUACGAAGGGUGCAAGCGUUACUCGGAAUUAAUGGGCGUAAAGCGUGCGUAGGUGGUUGUUUAAGUCUGAUGUGAAAGCCCUGGGCUCAACCUGGGAAUGGCAUUGGAAACUGGGCAACUAGAGUGCGGUAGAGGGUAGUGGAAUUCCCGGUGUAGCAGUGAAAUGCGUAGAGAUCGGGAGGAACAUCUGUGGCGAAGGCGACUGCCUGGACCAGCACUGACACUGAGGCACGAAAGCGUGGGGAGCAAACA